Molecule: ribosomal RNA, 887 nt
Filed under: uncultured delta proteobacterium
Lineage: Bacteria; Deltaproteobacteria
Description: bacterial SSU rRNA
Rfam family: Bacterial small subunit ribosomal RNA
Source: RNAcentral
CGCGGGAUUAGAGUUUGAUCCUGGCUCAGAACGAACGUUAGCGGCGCGCCUAACACAUGCAAGUCGCGCGAGAAAGGGCUUCGGCCCCAGUAAAGCGGCGCACGGGUGAGUAACACGUAGGUCAUCUUCCCCUGAGUGGUGGAUAACUCUCCGAAAGGAGAGCUAAUACAGCAUAAGACCACGACCUCGCCGAGGUUGUGGCCAAAGCAGACCUCUUCAUGAAAGUUUGCGCUUAGGGAUGAGCCUGCGGCCCAUCAGCUAGUUGGUAGGGUAACGGCCUACCAAGGCUAAGACGGGUAGCUGGUCUGAGAGGAUGAACAGCCACACUGGAACUGAGACACGGUCCAGACUCCUACGGGAGGCAGCAGUGGGGAAUCUUGAGCAAUGGGCGAAAGCCUGACGCAGCGACGCCGCGUGAGCGAUGAAGGCCUUCGGGUUGUAAAGCUCUGUGGGGAGGGAAGAAUAAGGCUUGGCUAAUAUCCAAGUUGAUGACGGUACCUCCUUAGCAAGCACCGGCUAACUCUGUGCCAGCAGCCGCGGUAAGACAGAGGGUGCAAACGUUGUUCGGAAUUACUGGGCGUAAAGCGCGUGUAGGCGGCUAAGUAAGUCGGGCGUGAAAUCCCACGGCUCAACCGUGGAAGUGCACUCGAAACUGCAUAGCUAGAGUCCUGGAGAGGAAGGUGGAAUGCUUGGUGUAGAGGUGAAAUUCGUAGAUAUCAAGCGGAACACCGGUGGCGAAGGCGGCCUUCUGGACAGUGACUGACGCUGAGACGCGAAAGCGUGGGGAGCAAACAGGAUUAGAUACCCUGGUAGUCCACGCCGUAAACGAUGAGUGCUAGGUGUCACGGGCUUUGACCCUCGUGGUGCCGAAGCUAACGCGUUAAGCA